GACGGAGGGUGCUAGCGUUGUUCGGAAUUACUGGGCGUAAAGGGCGCGUAGGCGGCCUGUUAAGUCGAACGUGAAAUCCCCGGGCUCAACCCGGGAACUGCGUCCGAUACUGGCAGGCUUGAAUCCGGGAGAGGGAUGUGGAAUUCCAGGUGUAGCGGUGAAAUGCGUAGAUAUCUGGAGGAACACCGGUGGCGAAGGCGGCAUCCUGGACCGGUAUUGACGCUGAGGCGCGGAAGCCAGGGGAGCAAACGGG
RNAcentral lists this ribosomal RNA (253 nucleotides) under uncultured bacterium. Its description in RNAcentral is "partial 16S ribosomal RNA". It matches the Rfam family "Bacterial small subunit ribosomal RNA", at positions 524 to 776 of the family's 1533-position model. The record is from RNAcentral.